GACGAACGCUGGCGGCGUGCUUAACACAUGCAAGUCGAACGAUGAAGCCGGAGCUUGCUCUGGUGAAUUGGUGGCGAACGGGUGAGUAACACGUGAGUAACCUGCCCUUGACUCUGGGAUAACUGCGGGAAACUGUAGCUAAUACCGGAUACGACCCUCGGAGGCAUCUCCUGGGGGUGGAAAGAAUUUCGGUCAAGGAUGGACUCGCGACCUAUCAGCUAGUUGGUGAGGUAAAGGCCCACCAAGGCGACGACGGGUAGCCGGCCUGAGAGGGUGACCGGCCACACUGGGACUGAGACACGGCCCAGACUCCUACGGGAGGCAGCAGUGGGGAAUAUUGCACAAUGGGCGCAAGCCUGAUGCAGCAACGCCGCGUGAGGGAUGACGGCCUUCGGGUUGUAAACCUCUUUUAGCAGGGAAGAAGCGAAAGUGACGGUACCUGCAGAAAAAGCACCGGCUAACUACGUGCCAGCCGCCGCCGCGG
Molecule: ribosomal RNA, 484 nt
Filed under: uncultured bacterium
Lineage: Bacteria
Description: partial 16S ribosomal RNA
Rfam family: Bacterial small subunit ribosomal RNA
Source: RNAcentral